GGCGGGGCAUCGCCGCGCCGGCCGCCAACGGCCACUGCAACGGUCCCUACCGGGGAGGGCCGGCUUUUGCCGGCUUCCGGAGAAGGGAGGAAAGAGAGAGGUUUACCUAACACUGUAAAGAGAACGUUCAAUGAAAUACAAAGAAAAAGAUGAUUUUUUUGCUCCAAGAGAAUUAUUCCAGCCUUGGGGUGGAGUGGGUGUGGACAGUGAGCAGAAAAACAAGAAACCAAGUUCUGGGAGGAAAUAAAAUGAAUAUAAUCAGUGGAAAAUUCAGCAACGCAAUAUUGUGUGACAACAGUAAAUGACCAAUUUAUAAUUUAAAUUCUAUGAAAAAGAGAUUUAGAAGAGAGUUCUACCAAACCCACUGUUCCCUAGGGAAUAAAAUGAGUAACGCUGACUGGCAACAGUGCAUCCUGAGGGAGCCUGGAGAAACAACAGCAGCCUCCGACCUCAAGAUAUCCUGGUUAGCUGCAAAGUCUGUUAUAUAUUCAUUCAAAUAUUUAUUAAGCACCUUACUGUGUGCUGGGAACUCUUAAGUGCUAGGGAUUAUGAACAAAACAUAUUUACAUGGAGCUUACAAUCUAAGUAAGGGGAAGACAAGUAAAUACAUGUCAGAUAGUGAAAUGGUAGAGAAAAGAAAAAACGGUGGUCAGGGAAAGCCUUACUGACAUUUGAGCUAGUACUGAAGGAAGUGAGGAAGAAGGCUAAGCAGCUACCUUGGAGGAGGAAUUUUCCAGGUAGAGGAAACACCAAGUACUAAGAUCUGAGACGGAGUGUGCUUUUUGGGUUCAAGGAACAGCACGGAAACCAUAGUGGCAAGAGCAGAGAGUAGGAGAUGAGGUCAAACAUAUUAAAGGGGGCUGGUCUUGUAGGGCCUGAAAGACCACGGUAAGGACUUUGGCUUUUGCUGCAUUAGAUGGGGAGUCAUAGUUUCAAAAUUUAGUCACCUAAACCAUCCUUAGCACUACGCUGAGCAAUUAUGCCAGGCCUAGAGGCUAGAAACGGAGAUGAUAAUCCUUUAGCUCCUUGCAACUCAAAGUUUAUUCAGCCCAACCUCUCUCACUACCACUAUCACUACUAUCUUGGACUGCAUAGCAGACUUAACUGAAUCUACAUUUUAACAAGAUCUUCAGGAGAUUUGUGUGUACAUUAAAGUUUCAGAAAUCA
This 1167-nucleotide long non-coding RNA is filed under the name Homo sapiens (human). RNAcentral's name for it is "HSALNT0362251". Lineage: Eukaryota; Metazoa; Chordata; Mammalia; Primates; Hominidae. The record is from RNAcentral.